CCUACGGGAGGCUGCAGUGAGGAAUAUUGGUCAAUGGACGAGAGUCUGAACCAGCCAAGUAGCGUGAAGGAUGACUGCCCUAUGGGUUGUAAACUUCUUUUAUAUGGGAAUAAAAUGUUCCACGUGUGGGAUUUUGUAUGUACCAUAUGAAUAAGGAUCGGCUAACUCCGUGCCAGCAGCCGCGGUAAUACGGAGGAUCCGAGCGUUAUCCGGAUUUAUUGGGUUUAAAGGGAGCGUAGGUGGAUUGUUAAGUCAAUUGUGAAAGUUUGCGGCUCAACCGUAAAAUUGCAGUUGAAACUGGCAGUCUUGAGUACAGUAGAGGUGGGCGGAAUUCGUGGUGUAGCGGUGAAAUGCUUAGAUAUCACGAAGAACUCCGAGUGCGAAGGCAGUUCACUGGACUGCAACUGACACUGAGGCUCGAAAGUGUGGGUAUCAAACAGGAUUAGAUACCCCAGUAGUC
Molecule: ribosomal RNA, 460 nt
Filed under: uncultured bacterium
Lineage: Bacteria
Description: partial 16S ribosomal RNA
Rfam family: Bacterial small subunit ribosomal RNA
Source: RNAcentral